Molecule: ribosomal RNA, 468 nt
Filed under: uncultured bacterium
Lineage: Bacteria
Description: partial 16S ribosomal RNA
Rfam family: Bacterial small subunit ribosomal RNA
Source: RNAcentral
GACGAACGCUGGCGGCGUGCUUAACACAUGCAAGUCGAACGGAAAGGCCCUGCUUUUGUGGGGUGCUCGAGGGGCGAACGGGUGAGUAACACGUGAGUAACCUGCCCUUGACUUUGGUAUAACUUCAGGAAACUGGGGCUAAUACCGGAUAGGAUCCCCUGCUGCAGGGUAGGGGUUGGAAAUUUUCGGCGGUUGGGGAUGGACUCGCGGCUUAUCAGCUUGUUGGUGGGGUAGUGGCUUACCAAGGCUUUGACGGGUAGCCGGCCUGGGAGGGUGACCGGCCACAUUGGGACUGAGAUACGGCCCAGACUGCUACGGGAGGCAGCAGUGGGGAAUAUUGCACAAUGGGAGGAAGCCUGAUGCAGCAACGCCGCGUGCGGGAUGACGGCCUUCGGGUUGUAAACCGCUUUCGCCUGUGACGAAGCGUGAGUGACGGUAAUGGGUAAAGAAGCACCGGCUAACUACGUG